RNAcentral lists this ribosomal RNA (830 nucleotides) under uncultured bacterium. Its description in RNAcentral is "bacterial SSU rRNA". It matches the Rfam family "Bacterial small subunit ribosomal RNA", at positions 49 to 908 of the family's 1533-position model. The record is from RNAcentral.
UAACACAUGCAAGUCGAGCGAUUCUCUUCGGAGAGGAGCGGCGGACGGGUGAGUAACGCGUGGGUAACCUGCCCUGUACACACGGAUAACAUACCGAAAGGUAUGCUAAUACGGGAUAAUAUAUUUUGAUGGCAUCAUCGAGAUAUCAAAGCCCCGGCGGUACAGGAUGGACCCGCGUCUGAUUAGCUAGUUGGUGAGGUAAUGGCUCACCAAGGCGACGAUCAGUAGCCAACCUGAGAGGGUGAUCGGCCACAUUGGAACUGAGACACGGUCCAAACUCCUACGGGAGGCAGCAGUGGGGAAUAUUGCACAAUGGGCGAAAGCCUGAUGCAGCAACGCCGCGUGAGCGAUGAAGGCCUUCGGGUCGUAAAGCUCUGUCCUCAAGGAAGAUAAUGACGGUACUUGAGGAUGAAGCCCCGGCUAACUACGUGCCAGCAGCCGCGGUAAUACGUAGGGGGCUAGCGUUAUCCGGAAUUACUGGGCGUAAAGGGUGCGUAGGUGGUUUUUUAAGUCAGAAGUGAAAGGCUACGGCUCAACCGUAGUAAGCUUUUGAAACUGAGAAACUUGAGUGCAGGAGAGGAGAGUAGAAUUCCUAGUGUAGCGGUGAAAUGCGUAGAUAUUAGGAGGAAUACCAGUUGCGAAGGCGGCUCUCUGGACUGUAACUGACACUGAGGCACGAAAGCGUGGGGAGCAAACAGGAUUAGAUACCCUGGUAGUCCACGCCGUAAACGAUGAGUACUAGGUGUCGGGGGUUACCCCCCUCGGUGCCGCAGCUAACGCAUUAAGUACUCCGCCUGGGAAGUACGCUCGCAAGAGUGAAACUCAAAGGA